RNAcentral lists this ribosomal RNA (450 nucleotides) under uncultured bacterium. RNAcentral describes it as "partial 16S ribosomal RNA". It matches the Rfam family "Bacterial small subunit ribosomal RNA", at positions 354 to 796 of the family's 1533-position model. The record is from RNAcentral.
GUGGGGAAUAUUGCGCAAUGGGCGAAAGCCUGACGCAGCGACGCCGCGUGAGGGAUGAGGGUUUUCGGAUCGUAAACCUCUGUCAGAAGGGAAGAAACUACGUUGUGCUAAUCAGCAGCGUACUGACGGUACCUUCAAAGGAAGCACCGGCUAACUCCGUGCCAGCAGCCGCGGUAAUACGGAGGGUGCAAGCGUUAAUCGGAAUUACUGGGCGUAAAGCGCACGUAGGCUGUAGUGUAAGUCAGGGGUGAAAUCCCACGGCUCAACCGUGGAACUGCCUUUGAUACUGCACAACUUGAAUCCGGGAGAGGGUGGCGGAAUUCCAGGUGUAGGAGUGAAAUCCGUAGAUAUCUGGAGGAACAUCAGUGGCGAAGGCGGCCACCUGGACCGGUAUUGACGCUGAGGUGCGAAAGCUAGGGGAGCGAACGGGAUUAGAAACCCGUGUAGUCC